AUACGGAGGAUACAAGCGUUAUCCGGAUUUAUUGGGUUUAAAGGGUGCGCAGGCGGACUAAUAAGUCAGAGGUGAAAUUUUCCGGCUCAACCGGGAUACUGCCGUUGAUACUGUAAGGCUAGGAUAUGGUUGCUGUGGGUGGAAUGUGUGGUGUAGCGGUGAAAUGCUUAGAGAUCACACAGAAUAUCGAUUGCGAAGGCAGCUCACAAAGCCAUUAUUGACGCUGAGGCACGAAAGUGUGGGGAUC
RNAcentral lists this ribosomal RNA (247 nucleotides) under uncultured bacterium. Its description in RNAcentral is "partial 16S ribosomal RNA". It matches the Rfam family "Bacterial small subunit ribosomal RNA", at positions 523 to 769 of the family's 1533-position model. The record is from RNAcentral.